Molecule: ribosomal RNA, 465 nt
Filed under: uncultured bacterium
Lineage: Bacteria
Description: partial 16S ribosomal RNA
Rfam family: Bacterial small subunit ribosomal RNA
Source: RNAcentral
CCUACGGGAGGCUGCAGUGGGGAAUAUUGCGCAAUGGGCGAAAGCCUGACGCAGCGACGCCGCGUGAGGGAUGAAGGUCUUCGGAUCGUAAACCCCUGUUAGCAGGGAAGAACGGUCACUGUCCUAAUCAGCAGCGAAUUGACGGUACCUGCAAAGGAAGCACCGGCUAACUCCGUGCCAGCAGCCGCGGUAAUACGGAGGGUGCGAGCGUUAAUCGGAAUUACUGGGCGUAAAGCGCUCGUAGGCGGUAUGUCAAGUCUAGGGUGAAAUCCCCGCGCUCAACGUGGGUACUGCCUUUGAAACUGGGAAACUGGAGUGUGUGAGAGGAUAGUGGAAUGCCAGGUGUAGGAGUGAAAUCCGUAGAUAUCUGGAAGAACAUCAGUGGCGAAGGCGACUAUCUGGCACAUAACUGACGCUGAGGAGCGAAAGCGUGGGUAGCAAACAGGAUUAGAUACCCGAGUAGUC